GUAGGUGAACCUGCGGAAGGAUCAUUACACGUUCUCCUCCUCCUCCUCCUCCUUAUCAUUGUCACCAUCUGGUGAUGAUGUUAUGCUGGCAAUGGUGGCGGUGGGGCUGCUGCUGCUGCUGUUGCUGUUGGACUAUGAAUCUAGACCUUGAUAUUGUCUUGCUGUUACUGCUGCGAUGGGGUGCCUAGUCUGCCUCUAGCCUUUGCAGGUAUGCCCGUCUUGUCGCUCGCUUGCUCGCUAACUGGCUGGCUCAUUGGCUCAGUGUGUGCGUGUGUGCGGGGACGUGUUAACACGGACCGGUCCAUACCAGGGCGGCAGAGGAGUAGUCACGCGAAGGCGUGUGUGCAAGGCAUAAGACGUCUGAUGUGCGCUAAUCAUCGCGACACGCUGUUGGUGUAGUGGGUGGUCGUGUACGCGCAUCUACGCCCCAUCAUGCGUCGUGGUUGUCUUUGUGUUACAUGUGAGGAUGCUGUUGCCGCACGGUCGACAGUAGCGAUGACAUUGAGGGGUAGAAAGGUGGUGUCAGCAUCACUGUUGUUACCGUUGUAUAGUGGUGAUGGCAUUACGAUGCUCUUCUCUCUGUCAGUUGUGUGUGUGUGCGCAUGUCGCUGUUGGCGGCGGCACGUGGACACCACCACCCAACAACAACAACAACAACUAAUAACUGUGUGCGGUGGAUCACUCGGCUCGUGCGUCGAUGAAGAGUGCAGCCAACUGUGUGAAUUAAUGUGAAUCGCAGACUGCUUUGAACAUCGACAUCUUGAACGCAUAUUGCGGCCAUAGGCUUGCCUGUGGCCACGUCUGUCCGAGCGUCGGCUUAUAAACUAUCACUGUGCAUAAUGAGCGGUGGCUUGAGAGAUUGCCGUACUGUGUGUGUGUGUGUGUGUGUGUGCGGCUUCUCUUGAAGGUGUGUGAAUGUAUGGUAGAGGCGGUGGUUGUGCUGCCGUGGCUGCAGUCAUGGUGUUUGCCUUGCUUCAUUCCAACUUCGUCUUCUUUCCUUUCAUUUUGAUGAUGGUGAUGAAGGAAGGAAGGAAGGAAGGAGGGCGGUGGUGCGUGCAGUCACAGUUCACAAGCCGUGGCCCAGUGUGGUGGGUGCGUUGUGCACGCAAGGUGAACUGUGCUAGCCGGCGACUACCAUUAGACGCCACUACUACUACUACAUUGUGUGUGUGUGUGUGUGUCUGACCUCGGAUCAGUCGUGAGUACCCGCUAAACUUAAGCAUAUCAAUAAGCGGAGGAAAAGAAACUAA
This 1250-nucleotide ribosomal RNA is filed under the name Taenia hydatigena. Its description in RNAcentral is "eukaryotic LSU rRNA". The stretch from base 663 to 815 matches the Rfam family "5.8S ribosomal RNA". The record is from RNAcentral. Lineage: Eukaryota; Metazoa; Platyhelminthes; Cestoda; Cyclophyllidea; Taeniidae.